CGAAAGAAUUAAGAAGGAUAUCGAUGAAAAAAUACAGAAGCUAUACAAUGGAAGCACAAUAAAAUAACAGAAGCAGUGGAAUAACAUAACGGAAAAAUAGCGAAAUAACAGAAGACGACGUUGAUGGUUUUAAGGGAACUUCGAAUAACGGAGUGCAGGGAAUAAAGAGACGAAGGAAAACACAGUGAUUCGACUGAAAAUAAAGCAGUUAAACUUUGAAGAUGCGAAAACUCGACGUACUAGAGUAAAAAGAAAGGUACGAGAAAAUGGAAGCUUGAGACUCGAAGAAAAAUAUAUGGAGGUAAUUCUAGAGAUAUCGAUUUUCUACUUCUACGUCAAAUAAAUCGGACGCUUUGUUGUCGUUGGGCCAUUUUAAUUCACACGAGGGAUCGACUUUCCUUGAACUAUGAGCCAAAGUAGCAGAUUUUUAUCUGGACAGUUUUCGAUAUUGCUUACAAAAUGCUACGUCGCUGGGAUAACGCGAACCGAAUGAAAAAGAGAGAAAUAAAUCACUUUCGAUUGAACGGGAGAAACGAA
RNAcentral lists this unclassified non-coding RNA (537 nucleotides) under Bombus terrestris (buff-tailed bumblebee). RNAcentral's name for it is "misc RNA ENSBTSG00005027728.1". Lineage: Eukaryota; Metazoa; Arthropoda; Insecta; Hymenoptera; Apidae. The record is from RNAcentral.